RNAcentral lists this ribosomal RNA (468 nucleotides) under uncultured bacterium. RNAcentral describes it as "partial 16S ribosomal RNA". It matches the Rfam family "Bacterial small subunit ribosomal RNA", at positions 28 to 507 of the family's 1533-position model. The record is from RNAcentral.
GACGAACGCUGGCGGCGUGCUUAACACAUGCAAGUCGAACGGAAAGGCCCUGCUUUUGUGGGGUGCUCGAGUGGCGAACGGGUGAGUAACACGUGAGUAACCUGCCCUUGACUUUGGGAUAACUUCAGGAAAAUGGGGCUAAUACCGGAUAGGAGCUCCUGCUGCAUGGUGGGGGUUGGAAAGUUUCGGCGGUUGGGGAUGGACUCGCGGCUUAUCAGCUGGUUGGUGGGGUAGUGGCUUACCAGGGUUUUGACGGGUAGCCGGCCUGAGAGGGUGACCGGCCACAAUGGGACUGAGAUACGGCCCAGACUCCUACGGGAGGCAGCAGUGGGGAAUAUUGCACAAUGGGCGGAAGCCUGAUGCAGCAACGCCGCGUGCGGGAUGACGGCCUUCGGGUUGUAAACCGCUUUCGCCUGUGACGAAGCGUGAGUGACGGUAAUGGGUAAAGAAGCACCGGCUAACUACGUG